This 1584-nucleotide long non-coding RNA is filed under the name Panax ginseng (ginseng). RNAcentral's name for it is "long non-coding RNA (PGIN_LNC001199)". The record is from RNAcentral. Lineage: Eukaryota; Viridiplantae; Streptophyta; Magnoliopsida; Apiales; Araliaceae.
GGGAGAAGCCCAAAAAAGAAAUCAAAUUUAAGCCCAAACUUAGCCCACAUAAUUAAAGGUAUUUUAGACCUUUGAUUUAUCUAAUUUAUGCAUUAAAAUAAUAGCUAUAUAAAGAAUUAGAGAGUAUAUACAUAGUUGGCCGCUAUAGGCCUUUUAAGGCAACAAAUUAGGCUAAUCAAGUUUCCUUAAAUAGCUAAUGACCUUACUUUCUUACAAAAAGUACAAUGUUUUCAACAUCUCAUUGGUGGAAAUCUCACUAAGCAUACUUAAGAUCAAGAUAAGGAGUUUUGUCUAAUGGACAACAAGAAUAUGUGGGAUAAUAGUAUGUCACACAUUGCUAGACUUCUAUAAAUAGAUUAGAGAGAGAAAUAAACCAUUCGCUAGCUCAUUUUGUGCACACACCCUCAACUAAUCUCUCUCAACUCAUAACCCACGAAAUUCAUUGCUAAGACCAGUCCCAAACAAAGCCCCACCAUUACCAUAAACAAAUCAGAAGCUAGAAUCAAGAUUAAGCCCAAAAAGGUAUAAAACCCUAGCUUGAUUUCUGUCUAUAAAUUCUGUGUUAGAUGUUAUGUUUGGGUGUUACAAUAUGUUGGUUAUAGUGUCUAAUGAUGAUAUGGGUUGCUAAAUGUUGGAUCCAUAACAUUUAGAAGCUCGGAUUUGAAGAUCUACAAAAUCUGGAAAAACUUAGUUCUGUGGUCUGACAACGAAUGUCAAUGGCCACAUAUCCUUUCUCGAUUAUGGUUUUUGUUGUUUUUAAGUUGUUAUGUGUAGCUUGUAAUGUGGUCUUUAAUAUGCAAAAAGAAUCAGAGUCAUUUGAUGUCUAGAACGGAAGUUAUUAACGGUCAAAUACCGUUGACCGGCAUUGACCAGAAGAAAUCUGGGCAGCCCAGAUUAUGCCCAAAUCGGUCUGACAACGCUUUUGAUCGACUAGAUCUGUCAGUAUAUUGGUGUUUGGGUUAUGUUGUUGUAAUAGAAUGGUAGCUUGGUAUGAGUACUACAAUUUAAAGCUUUUAGAUCGGUUAUAUAACAUAUAUAUUUAAUGUAGUGAUCGGUCAAACUAGUAGGGUUAAACACAAAAUCGAUUUCUGGGUAACCUAGAAAACCUAUGAACACUGCCUUUGACAUGCGUUGACCGAGCUAUAUCUUCUUGAUCUUUUGAUGUUUUGAUGUUUUGUUGAUAUUUUGUGUUAGAUCUCUUCAUUUACAUACUGGCUACAUACUGCAACUUAUAGAUCACAAAAUUAUUGCAUGAUCAGUAUGUAAUGUUAGCCCAAAGUAGGGCAGUCGAACUGUUCUUCAUUUUUGGGCAAACCCAGAAAUAAAGAACAGCUCUGACAGCCACUUUAGGGGCUUAGAUCUUCUUUGUUAUGAGCUGUAUGAACCUGUUUAUUGUUGUGUCUUGUAGUCUUGAAUUAGUACUACACUAUCAGAUCAACAACAUGCUCAGAAACACAACACACACUGAUUUACACUUGGUCAAACCCACCCACUCGGUAACUGGCUUGAAGAUCUGGGUUUGCAUGAAAAACACGAAGAACACUUACAGCGACGGUUCUGUCGCUAUAGGUGGUCUUUAGCGAU